AUGAUGAAACUUAGACACAAAAAUAAAAAGCCAGGUAAAGGUUCCAAAGGCUGCAAGAAGCCUGCAAAGCAGAAUGGGAAGAAAGCAGCCACCAAAGUGGCCUCCUUUCCCCAGUUUGUCCACUCCAAUGAUCAUGCCAGUCGGGAGGCUGAGUUAAAGAAGAAGAGGGUUGGGGAGAUGAGGGAGAAGCAGCAGGCUGCCCGGGAGCAAGAGAGACACCGACGCAGGACCAUUGAAAGCUACUGCCAGGAUGUCCUGCGACGCCAAGAGGAGUUUGAGCGCAAGGAGGAAGUUUUGCAAGAAUUAAAUAUGUUUCCUCAACUGGAUGAUGAGGCUACAAGAAAGGCUUAUUACAAGGAGUUCCAUAAGGUGGUGGAAUACUCUGAUGUGAUUCUGGAAGUCCUGGAUUCCAGGGACCCAUUGGGUUGCCGCUGCUUCCAAAUGGAAGAAACUGUCCUACAGGCAGAAGGGAACAAGAAGCUGGUCCUGGUCUUGAACAAGAUUGACCUGGUCCCUAAGGAGGUUGUGGAGAAGUGGCUGGAAUACCUUCGGAAUGAGCUGCCAACUGUGGCUUUCAAGGCCAGUACCCAGCAUCAGGUCAAAAACCUGGUAAGCUGGGGCCAGAAACAUCUAGCCUCUUAUACAGUAGCCUGGGGCUACAGUCUUUUCUAAUUCUAUUAUUAACAUAGAAAUAUGUUUUCUAAUUCUAUUAUUAACAUAGAAAUAUGUUUUCAAUGUCAGACUUAAUUAAAGUGUACAGAAACAUUUGUUGCUUCUAAGGAGAGAAAAUGGGUCCUAGGGGACAUUUUUUUCAGUUUUGUAUGAAGUGUAAAACUUACUUAUUAAAAAAUAAAGUAGAAAAAGUAAAAACAAUUACAGUUGACCCUUGAACUAAACAAGGGUUAGGGACAUCCACCUUCUGCACAGUGGAAAAUCCAUGUGUAACUUCUAGCUGGACCUCAGUAUCUGCAGUUCUGCAUUUACAGAUUCACCCAACUGCAAAUCAUGUAGUACUGUAGUAUUUAUUAGUGAAAAAAAUUUGCAUGUAAGUGGACCUGCACCAUUCAAACCUAUGUUGUUCAAGGGUCAACUGUAUAGAUGAGACUUGAAUAUCCUUUCACUAUUACCCAUUCAAGGGUCAACUGUAUAAAUGAGACUUGAAUAUCCUUUCACUGUUACCCCUAAUCCCAAUCUCCUUUAUCCAUAUACCAGAUUAACCACCAUUGUUAGUUUGAUGUGUAUCCUUCCAGAUGUUUUUCUGUGCUUUAUAUUAUAUGUGGAUUUGUAUAUAGAGAAAAUAGUUCUUGGGUGUAUCAUAUAUGUCAUCCUGCAGUGUACUUUUUUUCCCUUGAAGAUCUUUCUGUAGAGUUCUACCUUUUUUACACUAAAUAAAGUUUUCAAUUUUUUUAAUCAUUAUAAGCAGUACUAUAAUGCAUACCCUUGCACGUCUUCUUGGCUAGUCAGCAAGUGUUUGUGUAGGUUGGGUACUGAGAGGUAGAGUGGCUGGGUCAUAGUUAUUUUGCAUUUUAGAUUUUCCUAGAUACUGAAAAAUUGCUCCCCAGCCCCACCUCCUUCCUCUACCCCUACUCAAGUGGCUAUACCAAUUUAUCUUCCCACUACUGGGACAGAUGAAUGUGUGAGAGGGCCUGUUUCCCUCCACCCUUGCCAAUAUUUGAUAUCAUUAAACAUGUAAAUCUCUGUUCAUCUGGGAGAAACAUGGUAGUUCCUGUAUAAUUUUUUGCCUUUUAGAUAUCAAAAAUGUGAUAAGCAUCCCUUUAUAACAGGUUUUUCUUUGAUCUGUAUUCCACUUUAAGGAUAUAGCUCCUUAACCUAUUUCUUAUUAAUGGAUAUUUAAGUCAAUUUCUAUUUUGCAGUACUAUGGUAGGUAAGUAAGGACAGAGGAAGAGAUGAAAGGGCAUUCUGGGCAGAGGAGGUGGCAAUAGGAAUAAAGAGAUGGAGGCUGAAAUGGCCUUGUCUUGUAUGAGGAAUCAAGGGAAGGUAGGCUCUAUGUGGGCCGGACAGUAUCUCUUCUUUCUCUGGACAGGGAGGCAAAUGUUCUCAUUGUGUAGACAGGGUUCACUGAAGCCCAGAGAAUGGAAUCAGAAUUUGCUGGCCACAUACCUGUGAGAAGCAGAGUUGGAACUCAAACCUGGCCUGCUUAGAGGUGAGGAGGCUGUCUUGCUCCUGUUGAGGGAGGCAAGCGAUGUGUGUCUAGGCAGAGACUGAGACAGAGGACUGGAGAUGGAAAAACUGGAAAAAAUAGGCCUUGUGGAAGCAGGGAAAUGGCACGUGUUCGUUCAGGGCCUGUGUAAGAAGCCCUUCGCUUCAUGCUGGGGAUCUCGGUGAUAACGGAGUCAGCCCUGAAAUUUGGAAAUCUUUGCUCAGACCACAUCUCUCAUCUGAUGCCUCUUCUGUAAUACCCCUCAUUUUCCAGAAUCGCUGCAGUGUGCCAGUGGAUCAAGCCUCUGAGUCACUGCUGAAAAGCAAAGCCUGCUUUGGAGCUGAAAACCUCAUGAGGGUUCUGGGGAACUAUUGCCCGCCUUGGUGAAGUGCGCACCCAUAUCCGUUGUGGGCGUUGUGGGUAAGGCCUCAGGGGAGGUUAUGGGGCCCAGGCUUCUUCCUUGUGUAGGGGUGUCAUUGGGGGAAAGGAUUCUGGGAACUUCAUGUUACUUUUGGCUAGGGAGGAGAGGAGCUAUUCAGGAAGGGUCCUUUUUUUUUUUUUAAGGUAUUUAUUUAUUUUGGCAGCACUGGCUUUUGUUGCUGCAUGGGCUUUCUCUCGUUGGCUUCAAAUGGGGGCUACUCACUAGUUGCAGUGCUUGGGUUUCUCAUGGUGGGGUUCUCUUAUUGUGGAGUAUGGGCUCUAGGGUGCGCAGGCUUCAGUAGUUGCAGCUCCCAUGGGCUGAGUUGCCCUGAGGCAUGUGGAAUCUUCCUGGAUCAGGGAUUGAACCCCUGUCCCCUGCAUUGGCAGGCAGAUUCUUACCCGCUGUGCCACCAAGGAAGUCCCAGGAAGGCCUCUUGUGAUUUGUAAUUUGGAUUGGUGGACAUGGGGAGGCAGACUCAGAAUCACCACUGGUAGUUGGAGUAUUAAAACCAUGGACUACAUGUGUGGGGCUAGGCUUAGAGUUGACCCAUGUCAUCCUACCACUCUGGGGAAGGGAAUGGUUGCCUCAUCCAGUAUUCUUGCCUGGGAGAUCCCAUGGACAGAGGAGCCUGGUGGGCUACAUUCCAUGGGGUUGCAAAGAGUCAGACGUGACUGAGCACAUAUGUAUGCAUCCCACCAGAGCUGUGGGAGAGAGGGGUGAACAUCUCCCUUUCAUAGAUAAGAACACUAGGGCUCAGAGAAAGGAAAGGGACUUGCAGGGUUCACCCCUGUGUGAGACAAAACAGAGCUGAGGCUCAAACCUGGAGCCCAGGGCACUGAAAGAAAGCUGGGGAAAGGAACCAGGAAGUUGAGAGAGGCAGAGAUAGACCAGCAGGGAAAAGAAGUGAAGCCAAGAGAAAAAAAACAUUGGAGAAACAGCUGGAAACAGAAAAAGGUAAAAUACCUGAAUAGAUACAGAAAUAUAUCUGGAAAACCAAAUGUGGGAUUGGUGGGGAGUAGAGAAGGAAGACAGAGUUGAAUGACAGAGGCAUGUAGACAGAGGGAGAUAUGAUCACAAAAAUGUGUGUAGAGGCCUACAGAGAGAGAUAUGAGAGGGCCUGAGACCCUCUCAUGUGAGUAGGGAGGGAGACAUGUAUACCCAAGGAAAGAAUGAAUGAGUCAAACUCAGGGAUAAAGAGAUUCAGAGGAAGAUGCACAUAGAAAGAAGCAGGAACAAAGAUGCAGACAGACACUGAAGAAUAUACACCCAGACCUAUACACACAUGUGGAUCCACAGACACAUGUACAGAUCCACACAUAUGAAGACACAUACAGAUCCAGAGCCAAGAUAAUGGAGACCAAGCCCUUCCCACACACUUAGCCAACUCCUCUCCAAGCAAACAGAGCCAUAGAGAGACACGUGUACCCAGAUGCAUUUGACCCUCAGACACAAUCAUGUUAGAGACACAGACACACAUCUAUGACAAGACAGAUGUAUAUGUAUAUAUAGAGAAAUAGAGGCAGAGAGAGGACUAGGGAGACACAGAAAAAGAAACACAGUGAUUCAUGUAGAGAGACAAGCCCACUGAGAGAAGGACCAGGUACAGAAAGAGCUGAGAGGAGUUGGCAUAGAGGGAAUUAACAAAGAGGCAAAAUUGCUGGGGUGGGGAGAAUUUGAGAGAAAGGACAAUGGCCAUAAAGAGAGAAAGUGAGACAAACUGGCAGAGAAAGAGUUGCUUAGAUACACAGAGAGAAAGACAGAAAUGGGAAAAGCAAUGGUAUUUAGAAUGAGAACAGCCAAGAGAAGAUACACAGAGACUUCUACACACAAGGGAUAUACACACAAGCACAUCUAUCGGAAUAAAUAGUACACAUGUAAGUUCUAGCACACAGAGAAGGGGAAUGGUAGGAAUGAGAGACCCAAUGAGUGAGAAAUAGACAAGGACAUCCAUAGACCGAGAGGUGCUUACAGAUGCCCAAACAGAAAAACAUACCACAGACAGAAAGCUCAAAGACUGACAUCUCAGAGAGGAGCCCCACCUCCCACUCCCUACCCCCUGCCAGGUGAAUUAUACACCACGAUGGGUGGUUCUGUUUUAUGACACUUCCCAGUGCCCACCAUCCAUUGGAUUGUGUCACAGAGGCCUUGCAUCCAGUACCUUUCCCAAGCUGGUUGUAAGUGGGAGGUGAGUGUCAUAUCUAGUGAGAGGAACACAUCUAGCCAGAGUGCUCACAUGUAGAGGAAAGGGAUAGAAAGGCCAUGGAGGGGCUUGGUCAGGGCCUUGGACAGGAAGGCAGGAGGCCAGGCUCUGUUUUUGGCUUCCCAUGGCCUGGUCACACUGCCCCUGCCUGGGCCUCCCU
This 4942-nucleotide long non-coding RNA is filed under the name Capra hircus (goat). RNAcentral's name for it is "lncRNA (ENSCHIG00000004221.1)". Lineage: Eukaryota; Metazoa; Chordata; Mammalia; Artiodactyla; Bovidae. The record is from RNAcentral.